GAAAGGCGCUUUUGCGCCACUGAUGGAUGGACCCGCGGUGCAUUAGCUAGUUGGUGAGGUAACGGCUCACCAAGGCCACGAUGCAUAGCCGACCUGAGAGGGUGAUCGGCCACACUGGGACUGAGACACGGCCCAGACUCCUACGGGAGGCAGCAGUAGGGAAUCUUCGGCAAUGGACGAAAGUCUGACCGAGCAACGCCGCGUGAGUGAGGAAGGUUUUCGGAUCGUAAAACUCUGUUGUUAGAGAAGAACAAGGAUGAGAGUAGAACGUUCAUCCCUUGACGGUAUCUAACCAGAAAGCCACGGCUAACUACGUGCCAGCAGCCGCGGUAAUACGUAGGUGGCAAGCGUUGUCCGGAUUUAUUGGGCGUAAAGCGAGCGCAGGCGGUUUCUUAAGUCUGAUGUGAAAGCCCCCGGCUCAACCGGGGAGGGUCAUUGGAAACUGGGAGACUUGAGUGCAGAAGAGGAGAGUGGAAUUCCAUGUGUAGCGGUGAAAUGCGUAGAUAUAUGGAGGAACACCAGUGGCGAAGGCGGCUCUCUGGUCUGUAACUGACGCUGAGGCUCGAAAGCGUGGGGAGCGAACAGGAUUAGAUACCCUGGUAGUCCACGCCGUAAACGAUGAGUGCUAAGUGUUGGAGGGUUUCCGCCCUUCA
Molecule: ribosomal RNA, 653 nt
Filed under: uncultured bacterium
Lineage: Bacteria
Description: bacterial SSU rRNA
Rfam family: Bacterial small subunit ribosomal RNA
Source: RNAcentral